This 3573-nucleotide long non-coding RNA is filed under the name Salvia miltiorrhiza (redroot sage). RNAcentral's name for it is "long non-coding RNA (SMIL_LNC014256)". The record is from RNAcentral. Lineage: Eukaryota; Viridiplantae; Streptophyta; Magnoliopsida; Lamiales; Lamiaceae.
UUGUUUUGCUCUUCAAUUUCCACAUGUCUGAUCUGUGGGUUUCUCUUAAAACAGUUUUCAAGUGAAGGCGUUCUGGUUUGAUGCUUGAACCCCCUUUUGUACUGCUUCGUCAGUUCUUUUUCUGUUAUGUGGAUGUGGAUAUUGUUUUUAGCAUCUCCCUGUGACAGGAGAUACAAAAUAAGUUUCUUAAGGUGGGGUUGUGUUGGUCAUUGAAUCCCAGCUCAUUGAAAUUUUUUGAUGGAUUAAGUAAUUUUGAGGUGUUUGAAAUACUCAAAGGAGUGGUACCUCUUCAGUUCUGCUGAUGCCGAAUCCAAGCCUGGUAUCGGUGUCUUUGAUCCUGAUCUCAAUGGGGAUGUCUCCCACAAGAGGGAGAAUCACAAACGCCAAGGUCCACGCUGUGGUAGUCUUCGAAUCCAUAGAGGCUUGUGUUAGCGAUAUUUGAGAGUCCGAUAAGGAUCCAGUGUUUACUGUCGAAGAGGCCGCGUCUCCGGAUAGUGUUUAUCGAGGGUGGCAGAGGGAGUAUAGUAUUUUUCUACAGCCAUUUAUCUUCUAGAUGGGCUUUCCCCUUGCUAAUUGUUAUGCUCUUCAAUUUCCAGAUAUUUUCUUUGGGUGGUGCCUAAACAGUUUUAAAGGGAAGGCGGUUUUGGUUUGAUGUUUGGUUCCCUUUGCUCAAUUAAAUCAGCUUUUUGUUGUGGAUAUUGCUUUUUGUCUCGUCCUGUGACAGGGGAUCUUAAGAAGUUCUUGUUCUAGCAUUGUGUCAUUGGGGAUGUGAAUGCCAGAGGAUCAUUAGACUAGAGAGAGUUGAAACCAUUUUCUGGUGAUAUCAUGCAAUGCUGGGCUUAUCUUGAGCAUUUCAGGCUUUGGUUUUUUGUUCAUCUCCAUUUAUUUGACAUAUAACGCAUAGUUUUUGGCAAUUUGAUUGAAGUUUUGAGGAGAUUGUGCUAAUUUCUUCCUUGGUAAGGCUCUUGAUAAAUAAUUAGUCUGUAAUUUUCAUCAAGAUCUGAUUUAGUGGCUUUCAGUUGGAGCUAAAAGGUUUAUGUAGGGGACCAUGAGGUUGAAAGGGGUUUCAUGAGUCUUACAGGUCUGCAGGAAAAUUGGUUUUCUUUUAAAACCAUUCUAUGCUCUAUAUAUUUUUCUAUGGUUAUAUCGUGUUUAGUUUAUCUCCGGAACACACUCAUGCUGGCUAUCUACUGUCAUGGUCUUCUUUUGAAAUUAUUCAACUCAGGUGUUCAACUUAUGUCUGGUUUCCUCGAUCACACGAAUGUGAGUUGUACCUAAGGCAGAUUGUGAGUUGUACUUGCCUGCUAAUAAAACCUGCUGGAUGAUAUUUUGGGUAGCUUCCUUUUAUCUUGCUCAUAAGGCUUUUAUUUGGUUAUGGUUGGUCUUCUAUAUUCUUGGAAGCGUCUGGAGCUCUGCUUAUAAAAUUUUGAUUGGGAGGGUGUUUCGUUUACAUGUGCCUAAGAUGGCGUAGCUUGUAUAUGAUGGGGUGUGAAGAUGGACAUGAAGUACCUCAUCUUGACUGUUCGUUGUGGAUAUACUCUUCUGCUUUCUUGUUUCUCUUGUCAUUAGAAUUUCUUUAGGUAUUAAUUCCAGAAACAUGUUUCGAAUCCUUAGAAAUGACAUUGUAUUUUUCUAGUGUCUUCAUCAUUCACUGCAAACUUGUUUUGAUUGGUGUAUAUUGUUGUUAUAUAUAUAAUGAUUAUUGAUUGGUUUUGUUUGUAAUCCAUCUCUUGAUUGAUGUCUUGGAAGUUGGAUGUUAUAUAAGUUAUGAACUUCUGUUAUAUAUCUAUAUACGAACAAUAUCAGGUGUUUAUAUUUCAAUAUUAGCAUGUUUAUGUUUAUGUGAUACAUAGUUGCUUCACUAUUUGGUGUGAUUCUGUGAGGUAGCGAGUGCUCUGUAUAGAAGAUAUCAUAUAAUUCCAUUUCUAUAUACAUUCAUAUCUUGUGGAAAUACGAUAGGGAAUAUGUUGGGGAGCUUUCUUUUGUAGAGAUCACUAGAUUGUUGCUUCCCUUCUUGCAAUGUACAAGUUCGAUUGAUGUUUAAAUAAUUCAAAUUAGUUGCUCCUCAUAUUUCCUGGUUACUACCCUCUCUUGGCAUUAAUGACAUGCUAUGUUCUCUAUAUUUAAUACAUUUAAGGAACAUAAAUAUUUAACUUGAAUGACAGCUGAUAAAAAUGCAACGAAGUUAUGCCACACCAUGUUUUCUAUGAUGAUAUUUUGAAUUUCUAACUAACUGUCAUCUAUGAGAGCAUUUCUUGUAGUGAUCACCCUAAACUUUUGAAUUUCUAACCAACUGUCGUGAUCAUAAUAACCGUCAUCUAUGAGAGCAUUUCUUGUAGUGAUAUUUAUCUUCCUUAAAUGUGUUAAAUAUAGAGAACAUAGCAUGUCUAAACUAAGUUAUGUCCCUUCUGUUGUUUAACAGUUAUACCUGUUCUUCAUUUUUGUUUUCGGUCUAGGUUGGACUCUCUUAACCUUUUCCCAAUUUUUAUGGUUGAGUCACUGCUAUUGUUUUGAGUCUUUCAUAUGCUAUUUUUACGGAUUUUCAUUUAUGAAAUCUAUUGAAGUGCAGUAAUGACUUGAUUGAAAAUGUCGUUCACUCCUGAGUCCUGACCAUGAAACUAGUAAUUUGACAUAUUUCUUGUGCUCCCGACACGAUAAAACAUUUGGUCUAUGUUCUCUCAUUGCUGAAAUUAGUUUUUUCUUUGUGUUGCGCAGUUUCAUGUAAAUUGUCUAAACUAAGUUACUAAUCCUAUGUUUACAACCUUUUGUUAUUCGUCGAGCUUCAACUUUAUACCUGGGCUAAUUUAACCAUGAAACUAGUAAAAAUUUUGCUGUUUGGUGUUUGUUGAAGUUUAUACUUGUUCCAGCUGGGUGAUUAUGUUGUUUCUUGUGUAAUCUUUCUGUUGCAAGUCUUAAAUUUGUUUCUUGGUCAUCUGAUUACUUGCAUUUUAGCGGUCAGUCAUUUAAAUUUAUGCUGAUUUCAUGUCCAUUGGUGGUUGAGCUCAUUUAAAUUUCAGCUUCUCCUUCCCCGGAUUAUAGGUUAUAGGUAGAGUCGUGUAACUCUGCCUGUGCCAGCCACAGCCGGUCUCAAGCCCGGGAAAAAGAGGAGGGGCGACCAAAUUAUGUAGUAAGGUCUUUUUUAGUAUUACUGAUUAUGAUAUUCUGUGUCACUGAAAGCAAGAAAAUAAAUAGAAUCAAUCAACUUGUCUAGGUUUUGGUGAUUCUCAAGGACUAUUGCUGUAUUAUAUUUACAUACCUCUGAAUCUAAUCCAGAGUUCGUCAAGAUUCUACCAACUUCUCUCAAGGCUCUGCGAAGUUCGAGACUGGUGAUUCCGUCAAGGCCCUUAGCUUCUUGUGGAUUCACAUUGGUCCAAGACAGAAGUCACCAAGCAACAAUGCUCUUGAUGUUAGCAAAGUCUUCAACAAUUUUGUGAUUGUCACUUCCCGUAUGGAGGUUGUAAUCUAGUUUCAUCAUGAUUGUUUCUAAGUUAAUGAAUGUAGGGAGUUUCUGAUUUCAUUAAUCAUCAUCAUUUAAUAAUACGAUUCGUUCCAAGCUGAUUUUCUUUAGUCUUC